AAAUGCCUAAUAAGAGCGAUUGAUAACCAAGAAAUAUCAAAUCUACUCUUUUAUCUCAUAAGUACAUACUCCUAAAUGAAAAACCUAAUACUUAAUAUUUAGCUAAAAUAAAAAUUUCCUUGAAACAUCUAGCUUUUCUUGUAGAAACUUCUUGCGCUUGAGGAACACGAUGUUUCAUUGUCAUCCAAUGGGCGUCACCUAUAUAUAAGAAAAUACAUAUCAUUCCAAGUUUGAAAAGUAUUAUAAUGGAAUAGCUUAUGAAAUAAUAUUAAAUUACUUACCAAAUCGCAUGGCCAUGCAACCAUUUCACCAAGUGUGUCUCCAAGUGUUUGACAAAAACCAUAAGGUCGAAUCAGUCACUCUUUGGAUUCAAGUACUACUUUAACUUGUACUUGACACCAAUUCUCUCGUAAUACUUGUCUUCCAACUUGUGCAUUUGGAUUAGUGCUAUGGACACAUACUUUAGCCACAAUUUUUUCUUGAUGAGAUACACUUUUAAGAGCAACAUGAACUCUGACCAACAAAUAUUUUGCAAAAUAUUAAUAUAAAAUAUACAAAUAUAGAAAGUAAGCACAUGUAAUAAUUUUCUUUCCCCAUGGAAACUAGGGAUAAAAGAGAAAAUAUUAAGAACAUUUUUGCUUUUAUACUCUCAUGCAUAUAUCUUAAUUUCCCUUGUUUGAUGAAACUAAAUUUAGUCAACUGAGAUUCUUUGCACAACUCACAUCUUUAUUUGCUUAAACUCAUAUGACAGAAUAGAAUCCAAUUUCACUUCAUAUAUAUCAGCUGUAGUAUUUGUUAAUCUGAUAAAGACAUUAAAUCACCUAACUAUCAUAUGUCAAUUCUCAUGAUUUGACAUAAUUAUAACUAUCUUCAUUAUUUAUAAUCCCACCACUUCAAAUACUACUUUAAUUAUCAUUUAAUAAGCAAUAUUUGACAUUUCUAGGUAUAAUUAUAUGAAAAAUAGAAUUCAGUCUAUCGAAGUAAUGAACUGAAUUAUAUUUGCUUAAACUCAUAUGACAGAAUCCAAUUUCACUUCAUAUAUAUCAGCUGUAGUACAUAUAAACUUAUUUAAUGCUCAUAACCAUGUCGAACAUCACAUAUCCCUUGAUUUAACUAUCCUUCAUAACAUAUUUCCUUGUACUAAAAUAAUAAUAACCUCCAAUAAUCCAUGAAAUCUGAAAGAAGCAAAAAAACAGGAACCUCCAUAAUCCAUAAAAUUUGAAAGAAGCAGAAAAAAAGGGAAAUGGAACAGCUCUAUAAAUUUGAGCAACUUAGGUAGAAUAUGUAGAAUCAAAACCAGAGGCAAGGUAAGAGAAAGUUAAGCGGAGCAGUCAACAACAUGAAUUCAACCAUCGUCACCAUUUUGAUCAACCACUCAAAAUUGCUAUUCCCACGCCCCACACUAAACUACAAGAUUAAUUGUACUAAUAUUUCGAAAAGAAAUAUUACUAAUUCAUUUAAACGCAUAUCACAUAGUAAAGUAACAUAUCACAUAUUACAAUAGAGGUACAUACUAAAGUAUAGGUUAAUGAAAAAGGACAAGUACCUGAAGAUGUUGGUUUGAGGAUGAAAUCAUCCUUGGCAGAUUAGAGCUUUGAGAUUAUCUUGUACAGCCCCACUUGAGUUCUAGUUGUCGUAGCUAAAAGAUAAAACCAUAUAUAAUUAUUUAAUAAGAGAAAUAACAUAGCAUAUAACAUAUAUUGUGGUGAUGCAUAAUCUUACGAUGUGGCUGGUGCACUUGCUCAUCUGACAAGCUAAAAGUAGUCUGUUUGCGCUUUCGAUUUUUAGUAAUCAUACCUGCAAGUGCAAGUAAUCUGUUUAAGCAAAGUUUCUCAUUCUGACUUGAAUGCUUGAAUGAUUUUCCUUGCAAUUCUCGGGCUUUAACAUUGAUUAAACUUCAUUAAGCCCCAUUAGUGGGCUUGACUCGAUAUGUUUAAACAAUAAAAUUGAAAGGGCUUGACUCGAUGCCAUAAAGAAGAGCACAACCAAAGGGAUAAUAUGUUUAAACAAUAAAAUUGAAAGGGUUUGACUCGAUGCCAUAAAGAAGAGCACAACCCAAGGGAUAAUAUGUUUAAACAAUAAAAUUGAAAGGGCUUCACUCGAUGCCAGAAAGAAGAGCACAACCAAAUGGACAAUAUAUUGAUAGAAUACACACGUAGCACAUACUAUAAUACAAACCUGAAACAAAAAGUUCUAUGAAAAAUAUCAUAUCCGCAAUGAAACUCCAUACACAACCUUACUCUUCAGAUCAAGAAUUCACUGAAUUUAAAUGUGCAGAUAAGCCUGCCCUAUUCACUUUUCUCACAAGAAUUAGGAGAUUAGCAAACUUCCCAAGCAAUCAAAUAUAACGUACAUUCUGGAAUGAAAAACACAUCUAUCCCAACUAAGAAGAUAGGCUAGCUAUAAAAAUGUCGCCGACAUUCGUUCGACGUUCAUAACUCCCAAAAAAACCAUGGUACUGAAAAUAACAAAUUAGAAAUAUCAGAUGUUCAAUCCAAAUUGUAGAAAUAAGAGUAAUAAAAGCAUGUCAAAGACUAACCUCACUGGAGCCUACGAAUUUACGCUGGAAUAGAUGGCUAAGAGGAAGAAUAAGGACAAUUCAAAAUCGUUGGGGAAAUAGAAGAGUAAAAAUCCAUCAAAUUCCUACCUCACCGGUACCUUUAGAUACACGAACAAAAUUGAUGGCUGCAAAAAAGAAGAUAGCAAUUCAAAACCUAAUUGAUUGAACUCAUAUCAGAAUUUUAUUAUAGAGCAGACAAAUUUAGUCGUGUAAGUUUCUCACCUUCCGGGUGGCUUCAGAUUGGCAACGACUUCAGACGUGAACCACUGAAAUUCUGAUUGAGGAAGAAAGAGGAACGAGGGCUUUUUCGAUUUCUAAUUUUUGAUAAUCGUCUACACAUUUAUAUUGCCGCGAAGCUUUUACCGGGAGAAGGGAAAUAUAUUUUUGUUUGAAUUUUCUUUUCCCAAUAUCUUAAACAUAGUGCUACUGUACGGAGGCAAAUUAGGGGGAAAUGCACUUGUGUUUUGGCAAAAGAAAGAUGGGGAG
RNAcentral lists this long non-coding RNA (3046 nucleotides) under Salvia miltiorrhiza (redroot sage). RNAcentral describes it as "long non-coding RNA (SMIL_LNC009013)". Lineage: Eukaryota; Viridiplantae; Streptophyta; Magnoliopsida; Lamiales; Lamiaceae. The record is from RNAcentral.